Molecule: ribosomal RNA, 253 nt
Filed under: uncultured bacterium
Lineage: Bacteria
Description: partial 16S ribosomal RNA
Rfam family: Bacterial small subunit ribosomal RNA
Source: RNAcentral
UACAGAGGUGGCAAGCGUUGUUCGGAAUUACUGGGCGUAAAGGGCGCGUAGGCGGCCAACUAAGUCAGACGUGAAAUCCCUCGGCUUAACCGGGGAACUGCCUCUGAUACUGGAUGGCUUGAGAUUGGGAGAGGGAUGCGGAAUUCCAGGUGUAGCGGUGAAAUGCGUAGAUAUCUGGAGGAACACCGGUGGCGAAGGCGGCAUCCUGGACCAACACUGACGCUGAGGAGCGAAAGCCAGGGGAGCAAACGGG